UUUUUGGAAAAUAUUAUUUUUUGAAAAAAAAUUUUUUUUGGCGGCAAAAUUUUUUUUCAGAA
RNAcentral lists this small RNA (62 nucleotides) under Caenorhabditis elegans. RNAcentral describes it as "Unclassified non-coding RNA K11H12.14". The record is from RNAcentral. Lineage: Eukaryota; Metazoa; Nematoda; Chromadorea; Rhabditida; Rhabditidae.